This is a non-coding RNA of Caenorhabditis elegans, 217 nucleotides long. The record is from Ensembl. Lineage: Eukaryota; Metazoa; Nematoda; Chromadorea; Rhabditida; Rhabditidae.
GGAUCCACGUUGUCUACAUAGAAAUCAUAAUUGCAAAUGCAAACUAUCAACAUUGAUAUGGCCAAUUUUACGACCCCUUUUCCGCACCGAGUGGCGCUCUCAAUUUCCCUAUUUUUAUAUAUUUUCAGGUGAUAAAUUUCACACCCGUGUUUCUGUUUCUGAUUUCUUCCACACAUUUUUGUAUUUUAUACGUCAACUACAAUAAAUAUGUACCUAU